AUACGGAGGGCGCAAGCGUUAAUCGGAAUCACUGGGCGUAAAGCGCACGUAGGCGGCGAGAUAAGUCGGGCGUGAAAGCCCUCGGCCCAACCGAGGAAUUGCGUUCGAUACUGUUUGGCUUGAGUCCUGGAGAGGGUGGCGGAAUUCCGGGUGUAGGAGUGAAAUCCGUAGAUAUCCGGAGGAACACCGGUGGCGAAGGCGGCCACCUGGACAGGUACUGACGCUGAGGUGACGAAAGCGGUGGGGAGAC
RNAcentral lists this ribosomal RNA (250 nucleotides) under uncultured bacterium. RNAcentral's name for it is "partial 16S ribosomal RNA". It matches the Rfam family "Bacterial small subunit ribosomal RNA", at positions 523 to 771 of the family's 1533-position model. The record is from RNAcentral.